ACGCUUCUUUUCUACCGAGUGCUUGCACUCAUUUGAAAAGAGGAGUGGCGGACGGGUGAGUAACACGUGGGUAACCUGCCCAUCAGAGGGGGAUAACACUUGGAAACAGGUGCUAAUACCGCAUAAUAGUCGACACCGCAUGGUGUUGAUUUGAAAGACGCUUUCGGGUGUCACUGAUGGAUGGACCCGCGGUGCAUUAGCUAGUUGGUGAGGUAACGGCUCACCAAGGCGAUGAUGCAUAGCCGACCUGAGAGGGUGAUCGGCCACACUGGGACUGAGACGCGGCCCAGACUCCUACGGGAGGCAGCAGUAGGGAAUCUUCGGCAAUGGACGAAAGUCUGACCGAGCAACGCCGCGUGAGUGAAGAAGGUUUUCGGAUCGUAAAACUCUGUUGUUAGAGAAGAACAAGUAGGAGAGUAACUGCUCUUACCUUGACGGUAUCUAACCAGAAAGCCACGGCUAACUACGUGCCAGCAGCCGCGGUAAUACGUAGGUGGCAAGCGUUGUCCGGAUUUAUUGGGCGUAAAGCGAGCGCAGGCGGUUUCUUAAGUCUGAUGUGAAAGCCCCCGGCUCAACCGGGGAGGGUCAUUGGAAACUGGGAGACUUGAGUGCAGAAGAGGAGAGUGGAAUUCCAUGUGUAGCGGUGAAAUGCGUAGAUAUAUGGAGGAACACCAGUGGCGAAAGCGACUCUCUGGUCUGUAACUGACGCUGAGGCUCGAAAGCGUGGGGAGCAAACAGGAUUAGAUACCCUGGUAGUCCACGCCGUAAACGAUGAGUGCUAAGUGUUGGAGGGUUUCCCGCUCCUUCAGUGCUGCAGCAAACGCAUAAGCAACUCCGCCUGGGGAGUACGACCGC
Molecule: ribosomal RNA, 855 nt
Filed under: uncultured bacterium
Lineage: Bacteria
Description: bacterial SSU rRNA
Rfam family: Bacterial small subunit ribosomal RNA
Source: RNAcentral